AUGGGGACAGGACCCGGCACCCGGGCUGCUGGCUGGGUGGGCAGCGCCGGCACUGCACCUCCCAGUGCUCCCAGUGCUCCCAGUGCUCCCAGCACCCUCCGUCUGCCUGCAGGCACCCGCUGCCAGCCUCGUGCCGAUGAGUUCACGCCGCUGAAUUGCUGUCGGGACGUCCCAGGGCUCCUGUUGCAGCCACGGCCGUGCCCUGGGGUGCAGCAGGGGGCAGAGAGCAGAGCCCGGAGCUGCCCCCGUGCUGCUCGGGGCAGGGGUUUGGCCGCUCUGCGUGGGGAGGACGGGAGGAGGAAGGCUGCUGCGUGUGGCAAAAUGCAGCCAAACCGCUGGGAAAACCCCCGGGAGGCUGCGGGCAGGAGAUUUCUGCCUCUCUCGGGGCAGAAACCCCCUUCCUGCUGUGAUUUUGGGAGCUGCCAGCGCUGGGUUGAUGCCCUGGCAGCAUCAGCGACCCCUCCUCUGCCUGCUGCUGCCGCCAGACCCAGGCUUUUACCUCCUGGCAGCCCCAAACACCUCGGUCCCACGGAUGAUCCACCCCGGAGAGGCUGCGAGGAUCCAGCCCGGCUGCGGUGCUCCCAGCUCAGAGGCACCAUCUGCUGGGAAUCCUCCCAGCCCGGAGCUGGGACAGCUCCAGGGCCGAGCAGGGAAACCAGCCGAGCAGGGAGGAAGCACAUCUCCCCCAAAACAGGCUGGUUUAGCCCCAGAGAUCGGGCCAGGAGCAGCAGCAGCACCUGUAGGGAACUGAUGAUGAUUUCGGCUGAUUUUGGCUUUUCUAUUUUGCUGGGCAGUUCCCAGGGGGAGCGCUCCCGUGAGCUCUUUUUGAAGCUUUUUGGGUGGAUUUUGGUGUUGGGGGGUCUGCAAGGACCCAGUAUGCCGUGUCAGGUCACAGCUGAAGCCAUCAAACCCAUUUCCAAGGGUGAAGUUUGGGAAAACAUCCACACUGCCCCAAACUGGAGGUGGUUCAGGGGCAGCGUCCGAGCCUUGGCUGUGGCCGGGACAGGGUCAGAUCGUCUGAAACUCCCCGAAAACUGUAAGAUUUUGCCUCCCAUCCCCUUUGCCUCCUGCGUUUUGCAUCUCACGACUUCUGCAGCGAGCGGCGCCCCUGGCAGGAGCAGAGCUGGUGUCAGCAGGGCAGGGGCUGGCAGGCGGCGCGGGGCUGUGUCAGCAGCCCGGGUGUUUACAUUCCCGAAGCUUAUUUAG
RNAcentral lists this long non-coding RNA (1206 nucleotides) under Cairina moschata (Muscovy duck). RNAcentral's name for it is "domestica (muscovy Duck (domestic type)) lncRNA (ENSCMMG00000014686.1)". Lineage: Eukaryota; Metazoa; Chordata; Aves; Anseriformes; Anatidae. The record is from RNAcentral.